This 79-nucleotide small nuclear RNA is filed under the name Tursiops truncatus (common bottlenose dolphin). RNAcentral describes it as "U4 spliceosomal RNA (ENSTTRG00000024153.1)". It matches the Rfam family "U4 spliceosomal RNA", at positions 1 to 80 of the family's 138-position model. Rfam says of the family: U4 small nuclear RNA (U4 snRNA) is a component of the major U2-dependent spliceosome. The structure of U4 snRNA from yeast and human has been reported. Lineage: Eukaryota; Metazoa; Chordata; Mammalia; Artiodactyla; Delphinidae. The record is from RNAcentral.
AGCUUUGUGCAGUGGCAGUAUCAUAGCCAAUGAGGUUUAUCCAAGGCAUGAUUAUUGCUAAUUAAAUUAUGUUCAUACA